Molecule: ribosomal RNA, 334 nt
Filed under: uncultured soil bacterium
Lineage: Bacteria
Description: bacterial SSU rRNA
Rfam family: Bacterial small subunit ribosomal RNA
Source: RNAcentral
AGAACGAACGCUGGCGGCAUGCCUAAUACAUGCAAGUCGAACGAACACUUCGGUGUUAGUGGCGCACGGGUGCGUAACGCGUGGGAAUCUGCCCUUGGGUUCGGAAUAACAGUUGGAAACGACUGCUAAUACCGGAUGAUGACGAAAGUCCAAAGAUUUAUCGCCCAGGGAUGAGCCCGCGUAGGAUUAGCUAGUUGGUGAGGUAAAGGCUCACCAAGGCGACGAUCCUUAGCUGGUCUGAGAGGAUGAUCAGCCACACUGGGACUGAGACACGGCCCAGACCUCCUACGGGAGCAGCAGUAGGGAAUAUUGGACAAGUGGGCGCAAGCCUGAU